This 253-nucleotide ribosomal RNA is filed under the name uncultured bacterium. RNAcentral describes it as "partial 16S ribosomal RNA". It matches the Rfam family "Bacterial small subunit ribosomal RNA", at positions 524 to 776 of the family's 1533-position model. The record is from RNAcentral.
UACGUAGGGUGCGAGCGUUGUCCGGAAUUACUGGGCGUAAAGCGUGCGCAGGCGGUGAUGUAAGACAGUUGUGAAAUCCCCGGGCUCAACCUGGGAACUGCAUCUGUGACUGCAUCGCUGGAGUGCGGCAGAGGGGGAUGGAAUUCCGCGUGUAGCAGUGAAAUGCGUAGAUAUGCGGAGGAACACCGAUGGCGAAGGCAAUCCCCUGGGCCUGCACUGACGCUCAUGCACGAAAGCGUGGGGAGCAAACAGG